GGGACCGACCGCCGUCCUCGCCAUCGAAGGAAGGCCUAGUUAACAGCCUCUUAUCAGCAGCUGAGUGACGGGGCUUGACCCUUGCCGUAGCGUUGUUGCCACCAGGCAGAUCAUUCAGUUCCCUGGCGCAGGCUGCAUCUUACAGACCCGGCAGAGUAAUUGGAGAGCAGGCUGCGUCACUAACGAGGUGAAGGCAGUCUGGCAGCUUGUCGGAUCCGUCCACUGCGAGAGGUCGACGAUUCGAAACCCUUCUGCCUGUUUGUUAGACACCUACUCAUCACUCGAUGGAGCCUGACCUGUUCCUACAACAUAUGGAUUCGUUUUCAAGGCCUCGUCAUUUCAUGCACUCAAUAUUGAUCGCUUAUUUAUUUAUUAUUAUUAUUAUGAUUUGCUUUUCUUUAUUGUAUUUGCACAGUUCAUUGUCAUUUACAGAUUGGUUGUUAAUCGGUAUUGUGUGUGCUUUUUCAUUGUUUCUAUUGUGUUUUACUGUGAAAGCCCAUAAGAAAAUGAGUUUCAGGGCAGUAUAUCAUGACAUAUAUGGAUUUUGAGAAUAAAUUUACUUUGAGAUUUGAAAUUUA
Hypanus sabinus (Atlantic stingray) is the source of this 578-nucleotide long non-coding RNA. RefSeq lists it as uncharacterized. The record is from RefSeq and is a predicted model, not a curated record. The transcript has 2 exons. Lineage: Eukaryota; Metazoa; Chordata; Chondrichthyes; Myliobatiformes; Dasyatidae.